Molecule: long non-coding RNA, 1219 nt
Organism: Thunnus maccoyii (southern bluefin tuna)
Lineage: Eukaryota; Metazoa; Chordata; Actinopteri; Scombriformes; Scombridae
Exons: 3
Source: RefSeq, a predicted model, not a curated record
UACUGUUAACAGGGAGCGACCAAUAAUCCACCACUCACCCGUGCUACGCAAACAAACAAAUCCUCCAUGCUGAAGCUUGCAGGCAGACUAGAGCUGCUUUCAUAGUACAGAAUGAAUCAGAGUUCAGAGGAUCAUAUAUGACACUAACUGACAUGUGCACCAUUGAAUAAUAAUGUCAGACAAAGGACCACAAAAGUAAAGGAAUCAGGAAAGAGGAGACAGAAUCGAGGAAGAAUUGCAAGAUGUGACGGUGCUGAAAGACACCAUUACAAACAAGGAGAAAGAACUGAUUCAAGAUUAAAGAAAAAGUUUAAGGGAGAGAGGCAGCCCAGGCAUCAGGUGAUGGAGAGACAUAAACAAAGUCAAAGCAGGAAAUCUGACUCAGCAAAGAUUGUGUUCCACUCGUUGUUCCAAGAGGAAUCCUGUUUAUUUAACACCUCAUAUUCGCAUCGACAAACCUUCAAACUGUCAGCAGGAGCGGUGCUGAGGAUAAGAGAGACAGCUGGCUGAAUGCUGUCAAAGACAAACUGCCUCGUAGCUACAGUGUCUCACCUCUUUCCCUUUCGUCUCCUGUAAUCUUUUGCUUCUACAGCCAACCUGUUAUUACAGAGAGAUCACAUAAGUACAUAUAAUUCUAAUUAGGAAAUAGUUUGCUUUCAUAUGAGAGAAUAGCAUCAGGUUGAGUCCUGCAUAAUUUUGGAUUUAAUCUUCAGUGAGGGAUCGGUUUCACAAGAUUGUCCUACAUUCAUUUGUAGCCCACGCACAGAACAUCCAAAUAAACUUUUAUGCGUACUUCUCACUGUGUGUCUUGGAAGUGUUAGUGUUUUUUUGUUUUUUUUUACUUUGUGUCCAUGUGGCAAAAGAAUGUGCUUGGCUUCAGCUUGUGAGCUGUUAAAUUUUUAGCACAGAAUUAAUUAUUUAAGUAUCGUAUGUCUUCAAUGUGUCUAUAGGGAAUGUGAAGAUUCGUGCACACACUGCAUUGCAUGUUGGGAUGGGGGCGCCAUAUUGGGAGGAACGUGCCCUGUUCCCUGCCUGUGCCUGCUACGGUGCUAUGAUGGUUGCCUGCUUACCUUUUUCUUUUGUUUGGCUAAAAAAUUGGUUAAAUAGUUUAAAAGUUACAAAUCACUUGAAGCUCAUGAACAGUUUUGCCGUGGCUGGGUGCAAGAUCUACUAAUUCACACGCCGGCAAACUGCAAGAGCACAGUCAUACUCACAAAGG